Molecule: ribosomal RNA, 320 nt
Filed under: uncultured eukaryote
Lineage: Eukaryota
Description: partial 18S ribosomal RNA
Rfam family: Eukaryotic small subunit ribosomal RNA
Source: RNAcentral
CCCCUAGAUGUUCUGGGCCGCACGCGCGCUACACUGAACAGUUCAACAAGUCUUAACCUUGGCCGAGAGGUCUGGGUAAUCUUUGAACGCUGUUCGUGAUUGGGAUAGACCUUUGCAAUUAUGGGUCUUCAACGAGGAAUUCCUAGUAAACGCAAGUCAUCAGCUUGCAUUGAUUACGUCCCUGCCCUUUGUACACACCGCCCGUCGCACCUACCGAUUGAAUGGUCCGGUGAAAUCUCGGGACGGCGGCUUGGUCGCUUGCGUCCGACUGCUGAAACUUGAUUAAACCAUAUCAUUUAGAGGAAGGUGAANUCGUANCA